This 444-nucleotide ribosomal RNA is filed under the name uncultured bacterium. RNAcentral's name for it is "bacterial SSU rRNA". It matches the Rfam family "Bacterial small subunit ribosomal RNA", at positions 97 to 520 of the family's 1533-position model. The record is from RNAcentral.
GGAGAACGGGUGAGUAACACGUGAAUGAUCUGCCCAUCGCACACGUGGGUAUAGCCCGGGGAAACCGGAUUAAUACCGGAUAGCCUCUCGAGGUCUACAGGGCUCGUGAGAAAGGAUGGCUUCGGCUUUCGGUCGAGGAGGAGCUUGCGGCCGGAUUAGCUUGUUGGUGGGGUAACGGCUCACCAAGGCGACGAUCCGUAGCUGGUCUGAGAGGACGAUCAGCCACACUGGGACUGAGACACGGCCCAGACUCAUACGGGAGGCAGCAGUAGGGGAAUCUUGCGCAAUGGGCGAAAGCCUGACGCAGCGACGCCGCGUGAGGGAAGAAGGCCUUCGGGUUGUAAACCUCUUUCAGGAGGGACGAAGCUACUCGGGUUAAUACCCCAGAGGGUGACGGUAACCUCCAGAAGAAGCCCCGGCUAAACUACGUGCCAGCAGCCGCGG